GGAGAGGUAUUAGCAGUAGAAAGAGGGAAGUGCUCAUGCCAUUGUACAGAACACUGGUGAGACCUCACUUGGAGUAUUGUACACAGUACUGGAGACCUUAUCUUCAAAAGGAUAUUGAUACCUUAGAGAGGGUUCAGAGAAAGGCUACUAAACUGGUUCAUGGAUUGCGGGAUAAAACUUACCAGGAAAGGUUAAAGGAUCUUAACAUGUAUAGCUUGGAGGAAAGACGAGACAGAGGGGAUAUGAUAGAAACAUUUAAAUAUAUAAAGGGAAUCAACACAGUAAAGGAGGAGGCUAUAUUUAAAAGAAGAAAAACUACCACAACAAGAGGACAUAGUCUUAAAUUAGAGGGAC
Non-coding RNA from Pelobates cultripes (western spadefoot toad), 354 nucleotides. Lineage: Eukaryota; Metazoa; Chordata; Amphibia; Anura; Pelobatidae. The record is from the annotation of a GenBank genome assembly.